This 253-nucleotide ribosomal RNA is filed under the name uncultured bacterium. RNAcentral describes it as "partial 16S ribosomal RNA". It matches the Rfam family "Bacterial small subunit ribosomal RNA", at positions 524 to 776 of the family's 1533-position model. The record is from RNAcentral.
UACGGAGGGGGCUAGCGUUGUUCGGAAUUACUGGGCGUAAAGCGCACGUAGGCGGCUUUACAAGUCAGGGGUGAAAGCCCGCGGCUCAACCGCGGAAUUGCCCUUGAGACUGUAUCGCUUGAACACGGGAGAGGUGAGUGGAAUUCCCAGUGUAGAGGUGAAAUUCGUAGAUAUUGGGAAGAACACCAGUGGCGAAGGCGGCUCACUGGCCCGUAACUGACGCUGAGGUGCGAAAGCGUGGGGAGCAAACAGG